RNAcentral lists this long non-coding RNA (826 nucleotides) under Homo sapiens (human). RNAcentral describes it as "HSALNT0301001". The record is from RNAcentral. Lineage: Eukaryota; Metazoa; Chordata; Mammalia; Primates; Hominidae.
CGCAUUCUCAGCGCUGUUUCAUUGCCUCAAGAGCUACAGAUGGCUUCCCCAAGCACCUGAAGUCGAUGCUGCUUGCCUGGAUGGAAUAAGCUGCAAGCUGCAGAAACUCUUGUCUUUUCACAGUGGAACUCAGACUCCAGUUUCUUUCUGCCUUGAGAGUGAAAGAAAGGAGAAGACACAGAGUAGGAAAGAGCCAGAAGGUGGAGAAAUUAAUGUUUAAUGCUUGAUACUCCCGGGGCCUGGCCAGCUGCUCAAAAAAAGGACCCAAGAAAAAUCGUGUUAUCUAAGAGAGCAGUUAUUCUGACACAGACUGAUAUCAGGUGCCUGUGGCAUGAAACACGGAAGAGAAUAAUAGCAUCUACCUUAUAAGAAGACAUACUAUAUUCUGGACCACAUAUCUGAUAAUUCUUACAGCCCUUUAAAGAUAAUCAUAACUAGAAUAUUAUCUUAUUUUGUAGCUCAUAGAUGUCAAAAGACUAGCUCAUAAUUUUAUUGCGGAUACAUAGCAGAACCAAGAUUUGAACUCAGACCUGUCUCAUUCCACAACUCAUUUUCCUUGAAGUCAAUAGAUGCCACUGAUCUCUAAAUACCUACAAAAGGGGCUCGGAGGUGGAGAGGGGAUGUCUGAGGAGCCUUAGGACUACCACCCAAUGUUCUGUCUUUAGAUAGAGAUGCUAUCACCAAUCUCUCUUUCACACAUACUCCUCCUCUUCUCAUUUCUGUUCGUGUACUUGGUUCUCAGUGUAAGAUUUUGUUAGAAGAAAGAGGCAUGUUGGUAAAAUAAGAAAUAAUAUAUCAAAAAUAAAAUAAAAUUGUUUGAAAGUCU